Molecule: non-coding RNA, 531 nt
Organism: Condylura cristata (star-nosed mole)
Lineage: Eukaryota; Metazoa; Chordata; Mammalia; Eulipotyphla; Talpidae
Source: the annotation of a RefSeq genome assembly
AUGGAAGCCCCAGCGCAGCUUCUCUGCCUCCUGCUGCUCUGGCUCCCAGGUUCCUCUGGAGAAACUGUGAUGACACAGACUCCAGCCUCCCUAUCAUUGUCUCCUGGAGAAAAGGCCACGAUCUCCUGCAGGGCCAGUCAGAGUGUUAGCAACUGGUUAGCCUGGUACCAGCAGAAACCUGGGCAGGCUCCCAGGCGCCUCAUCUAUGAGGCAUCCAAGAGGCCCAAUGGCAUCCCAGCCCGCUUCAGUGGCAGCGGGUCUGGGACAGACUUCACGCUCACCAUCAGCAGCCUGGAGCCUGAGGAUGCCGCCACUUACUACUGUUUGCAGCAUAAUAGUGGAAGUCAGAGUACUUCUGUUGCUGAGACACAGGCUGCCUUACUGCGGGCCUCAGGCCUCCAUGAAGCCCGAGGGCAGGAGCUGAUGCUUACAGCUGCUGCAGCACCUCCCAGGGGACCCCCGGCCUCCCCCAAGCUCUGUGUCUGCCUCCAUGAGUCCCUGGGGCACAGUGGCUCCUCCUUUCCCGACUGA